AUUGAACGCUGGCGGCAGGCCUAACACAUGCAAGUCGAACGGUAACAGGAAGAAGCUUGCUUCUUUGCUGACGAGUGGCGGACGGGUGAGUAAUGUCUGGGAAACUGCCUGAUGGAGGGGGAUAACUACUGGAAACGGUAGCUAAUACCGCAUAACGUCGCAAGACCAAAGAGGGGGACCUUCGGGCCUCUUGCCAUCGGAUGUGCCCAGAUGGGAUUAGCUUGUUGGUGGGGUAACGGCUCACCAAGGCGACGAUCCCUAGCUGGUCUGAGAGGAUGACCAGCCACACUGGAACUGAGACACGGUCCAGACUCCUACGGGGGGCAGCAGUGGGGAAUAUUGCACAAUGGGCGCAAGCCUGAUGCAGCCAUGCCGCGUGUAUGAAGAAGGCCUUCGGGUUGUAAAGUACUUUCAGCGGGGAGGAAGGGAGUAAAGUUAAUACCUUUGCUCAUUGACGUUACCCGCAGAAGAAGCACCGGCUAACUCCGUG
This 490-nucleotide ribosomal RNA is filed under the name uncultured bacterium. RNAcentral's name for it is "partial 16S ribosomal RNA". It matches the Rfam family "Bacterial small subunit ribosomal RNA", at positions 30 to 507 of the family's 1533-position model. The record is from RNAcentral.